AUAGAGAGCAUGUGCCGCGGAAGAGUGGACAAACCACUUACGUGCAUGAAAAUAUGCAUGGACGUGGGAACAAAUUAGAAGUGGAGGUCAUGUGCGGCUUGCCAAGUGGAGCGCACCAUGAAAUCUAAAGUGGCCAGCAUGUGUUACGGCAAGUGGAGAGGGACACUUUCUAAUACAUGGGAAAAGUGGUGCGUGAAACCAAAGGGAGCCAAAUGAAGUGCCGCCCAUGUGAAACUUGCAAGGUGGGGCGCAUGUGGAAGCCAAAGUGGCCCAAG
RNAcentral lists this unclassified non-coding RNA (275 nucleotides) under Hevea brasiliensis (rubber tree). Lineage: Eukaryota; Viridiplantae; Streptophyta; Magnoliopsida; Malpighiales; Euphorbiaceae. The record is from RNAcentral.